UUUGUUAUGAAAGUGAAUAUUUAUUUUGAAUGAGAAAUUACAAUAAAUUACAAACUUUUAAAAGCUGAUAUAGACAUCACAAAAUCAAUAUAAACACAAUGUUUUUAAUAAUUAAUUGCCUGACACACACUACUCUAUUUUCUACAAUUUGCAUAACCUCUGAACACUUUUUCAUAUUGACAAUUUUGUAAUAUAUUAUCUCUAAAGAGGUAACAGAAACAUAAUUCAGCCUGAAACGUGGCUGAUGAAAUUUGCGUUAUAGUACUGAUAGUUUUUUUAAAAAACGUUCAGCUUCACAAGUUGUUAUUGGUAACAAGAUGCAGGAUGUUGGGAUGCAUAAAACAUGACUUCACACUCAGUUGUACUGCAUCCGUAACACUGCUACAGGUUUUGUGCCCUACAUACAUAGCACUUUUGAUAAAUUUCACACAAAUCCUAUCAAGAAAGAAAAAAUGAUCGUGCGUUGAUAAUUAGAUAUGGUGCAUUAUUGAGUAUAUUCUCACAAAACACAACUUUCUUUUUUUCUAGGUAUUAAUGAGAACUGAAUUCACCUCUUGAAAACGUACACAUGUGAGGGUUGGAGGACUUUUCUACAGCCCAUUUGGCUCCAGACAUUUCAAACAUUGUUUCUCCUUCAUUACCCACAUACUUCAAUGCCAGGUGCAGUAGGACAUGUUUAUAUGAUGAUACAGCUUUUGGCCCUGGACGUUUUCUCACGUGGUUUCAGGAAGUUGGCAUGGCAGGCAAUAGAAUUAUUCCUGGAAGCCAUUCCUACACCCGAACAGCUAGCAAUAAUUUAACUGUACAUGAAUGCUUGUGACCCAUAUAGAUCGCAAAAACUCAAACUAAAUGCAUUCCCAACUCAUUUUUCCUUGGUUGCAGCAUCAAAAUGCCUGUGGCCACUCCAAUAACAGCCUUCCCCCCGCACCCCCAAAAAGAGGAGAAGAGUGACAGAAAGUUGAAGUGAAAAGAGGCAACAGUUUUAACCAAUUGCAGUCAAAACAUCUUACUUUGGAAAUUUUAUGAAAAUAGAUAAAUUUGAAUUACAUUACGGGAAUCUCUCCCAUAGCCUUGGGAGGAGCUCAUCUGUGCAAGUGAGGGGCUUUGAAGCUGAAGCUUUACUAAUUUCAUGGUAAACCCAUAUUUACACACUGGACACGUCAGCACAGUUUGGAAGUCUUGGGUCUGCCCCUAUAUCCAUGCUCAUGGUCAUAAGCCCGAGUCAGGACCUCAGCAUCUUAGUUCUGCAAUUGCUCUCAUACUCUUUUCUGUCUCCAACUUCAGCCUCUCCCUUUUCCUAAUCUUCCACGUUAGCCUCAUCUUUUUCCAUCUCGUUUUCACACUUCCCACAUCAGAACCUUAAACUGAUUGCCAAUUGCCUCACUGAAAGGUGAAAACUCUUGAUUCUCUAAAGAGCAAGUUUCCUUAAAGUUAGAAGAACUGGUGUUUAGGUUAACCACUGAUCGAUCGGUUGAUGGUGGAGGUGGGUGAUGAGAGCUACUUCCUCCUGUAGCCAAGUAUGUGCCUGUAUGUUAUGUCAGUUGUGACAGCUGCAUUCACAUCCACUCUGUCAUUCAACCCUCACAACAUUCCUUUAAGGUCAUAAAGUUAUCAACAUUUUAAAAAAUGAGGCAAUAAACUCAGAGUUGAAGUAACCCAAGAACCCACAGUUGGUAAGCGGUGGAGGAUUCUAUUGCACUGAUACUGACUUCCAGUUGCUUAGUUAACUCGUGUGCUGAGAGAAGGAAAAUACAGCUGGAUGGUGCACCCAAGUUCUAAUCUUAUGGCUUAGAUUGGGUGUCACUUCAAUGUCUAUGCAGCUCUCUUCAGUCACUAUUAUCAGGUAUACGAAUCCUCCCUCUGGGUCCAAAGCACAUCUAUCUGGCUCUUAAAGACAGAAAGUUAUACGUAGCAGACUUUGUUCUAGACCCCCAUUUGAUUUUGAGCUUCUUUAUCAUCUUGAUCACAUACUACCCAAAGCACAGAAGGAGUUCAGACAUUAGAGGGAUGACAUGGACAUUUAUAAUUUCUCUUCAGAUGCUAACAGCCCCCAGAGAUUCAUAAAUAAAGCUUAUUUUGGUUAUUCAGAGAUCAGAAAAAGAACACAUCUUCCAAGGACUACAACUGUCUUUUCAGGGGAAUAAACCUGAGACUAAGUGGAAGAAAUAGAGAAAUUAUGAAAGGAAAUACAUACAAAAUAAACUAAGAAGUAAAGUAUCCAGCUAUAAGGAUGAACAUGACAAUAAAAAUAACCAAAAGAAUAUUAACAGAUAUUUUUUAAAUGAUAAAAAAUCCUCUCAUCUUCAUCACUGCUAGGUCUUGGGGAAAAGCAGUUGACACUUGGUACCUUCAUUUUACUCUCAUGCUGACGUCUUCGUAGAGAAAACAGAACCAGAACACCCUUCAGUCUCCUAUCACCAAACAUCAACCCACCAUCAUCUGCUCUGCUCCUAUUAUCCUUCCCUCGUUAAACAGACCCGAGCAACUUUCUUCUAUUUAAGGCCGCUUACUUUUGAACUGAAUAUCAUCCCAAUGUGUGUAUUCAGAAAUCUUACACGAUCCCUUAGCCUGGUUCUUAUAUACUUAUGUUUUCUCUCUCACUGGGGUAUUCUUAUUAGCUUAACAAUUGUUUUUGUUAUCUGAGUGGUACAUGUAUAUAAUAUAAAAAGUCAAACAUCUCUAUAGAGAAAACUUCUGGUCUAGAUGACUUCACUGAUGAGCUCUUUCAAACAUUUAGGAAGGCAAUAAUGCCACAUUACACACACUCUUUCAGAAAACAGAGGACAAGGGAACAUUACCCAACCCAUUUUAGAAUAAUUUAGCUAGAAAAAUUGUAAUACCAAAACCUAAUAAAGCUAUUGCAAGAAAAAAAACACACACACAUACACAUAGACCAAUAUCCUUCAUGAACAUACAAAAUUUCUUAAACAUAUAUAUUAAAUCAAAAACCUAAGUAAAGAAAACUCCAGAAAGUGACUAACUCUUGAUACGGGAGAAGAAACUCAUGGCUGUUCUCACGUGUGGCAAAACAGCAGAGUAAAGAAGAAUCUACCACAGAGACAAGGUAAAACUAGCCAAAAAUUCUUUCUAAAAUCACUUAAUGGCUGUAUGUGAGCUAGCAUGACAAAUGAGAAUUCUUAAAGGCCACAGUCACAGAGCAAGUCAGGCACCAACCUACCAAAUCUUUCCUAUGGGAAUUUACAGAGUACUAGGGACAGUACACCAAAUCUGAGGGGAGAACAGGACAGGAAAGACCCCUCCACACAUGCAGAGCCUCUCCCAAAUGUAAGGCAGCCCCCCACUGAACUGAAUGGGCAGAGCAAAGGGAAGGAGAGAAAUCAACUCAAGGUACUUAGGACUUUCACCUACAAAGUUUGGGGUCAGAGCUGAAGAACUGAGAGAGCAGUUCUCUUCUCUCGCCAUGCCAGGUACUCUAUGCUCUCAGCUUCCAAGGUGUGGUUAGAAGUAACAGAUACCUCUCCAAGGCAUUCUAGGCAGAACGAGAUCUCUGGAACAAGACUGAAGAGUAAAUGAAACUUCUCAGUUGGAAGCUUAUCUAUAAAACACAAGAUAUAUCUGGAAUAUUGCCAGUGCUCAGAAGGGAAAAUCUUGAUUUUGUUUCAAAUUAUUUGAAGCCAGUGUUUGAAAUCACUAAAGAUGAUACUGACUCAACCUCACUUUAGUGGCAUGACACAAGACAGAGGAUACACUUUUUGGGAAGUAAAUAUUAUUCACUUUAACUUUUUUUUUGUUUUUUGUUCACAUGUGGCAUUAAAUCAAACAUUAAAAGAAGAAUUAAAAAGAAAGAAAAUACAACUCAUGAUCAAGAAAAGAAACAGUCAAUAAAAACAGACCCAGCUAUAGCCCAGAAAUUGGAAUUAACAGACAGCGACUUGAAACUAUAAUAAAAAUGCUGAAGGAAAUGGAAAGCUGAACAAUAUAUAUAGAAUCUUCAGAAGAGACAUUGAAACAUUGAAAGAAUCAAAUGGAAAUUCUCUAAGUGAAAAUUCCAUGGUUAUGUGAGAUUACUAGCAGACUGGAUUCCAUUUAGGAAAGAAGAUAAUAUGCAAACUAAAAACCAAACAGGAUAAAUAAUGGAAAAAGAAAACCAAAACGGAGUACCUGAGAUAUGUGAAGCAAUAUUAAAUGAUCUAACAUACACAACUGGAGUUACAGGAAGAGUAGAGAGACAAUGGCAAAGAAGAAAUAUUUAAAGAAAUAAUAACUGAAAACCUUUCAAAAUUGAUGAAAGACAUCAACCUGUGCAUCAGAAAGCUCAAGAAAUUCCAAAGAAGAUCAAUUCAGAGAAAAACAUACCUAGAUAUUUUAUAGUCAAAUUGCUAAAAACCAAAGAUAAAGAAAAAAUUUUAAAAGCAACCAGAGAAAAGAAAAAAAGACAUAUCACAGAUAGGGGGACAACAUUACAAAUCAUGAAAAACAACAGGGGCCAGAACACAA
This 4458-nucleotide long non-coding RNA is filed under the name Equus caballus (horse). RNAcentral's name for it is "lncRNA (ENSECAG00000048564.1)". The record is from RNAcentral. Lineage: Eukaryota; Metazoa; Chordata; Mammalia; Perissodactyla; Equidae.